Molecule: long non-coding RNA, 226 nt
Organism: Carassius gibelio (silver crucian carp)
Lineage: Eukaryota; Metazoa; Chordata; Actinopteri; Cypriniformes; Cyprinidae
Exons: 3
Source: RefSeq, a predicted model, not a curated record
AGAAUGAAAAUUACACAGUUUUAAACAAGGAGGUUUAUGGAAUAACGAUGAGGGCUAAUAUCUCCAACCUUACGGACAAUAUUGACAUGUACUUUAGACGUAGUGAUAAGGUCAAUAAGCCGUCCUGCAGUUCUUGGAAUGGCAAAGGAGAACUUAAUUGGACGACGUCCGGCUGUGACACAGAAAUCGACAACACCACCAUAAAGUGCUCCUGCUCACAUCUGAC